AGAGCGGCAGCGCCUCCCGGUCACUACAACAACGGCGGCCCAGUCAAACCCCGCGCUCCAGGCAUGGCCAGCCGAGCCCCGAGACACCGCCAGCCCUGUAAAGAGAGGACGGGAGGUAUGCGCCGGGUCAGCUGUGGCCACACACCAAGCCAUGUUAACUAACACUCGCGUUCUCCCUGGUUUGAUGUCAGGAAGUGGGGUAGUAACCAGGACUGGAAUAAGAGCGAUGAAUGGAAGGGCGUUGUGAGCCUGUGAUCGAUGCGAUCAGAGUUCUAUUACGUUUUAAAGAGACAGCACCCGUGACGUUUAAGGUGAUCCCCUACCGCUUAUUUUGUUGACGUAAAGCUUUGACAUGAAGAGGGGCAGCUUGCUAGUUAUUAAUAUACUAAAAGGAACUAAAUCCCCUGAGGGCAGAUUUGAAUUUAUUUAACCACUGUUUUCCACACAGUGCCCUGCAGGAUAUUGAUAUAGUUGCUGGAUGUGCGUGAUGAAUGAAUGAGUGAAUGAAUGAAUAAAUGUUGUGCAUGCACUUAAUAAUUUUCUGCGAUAUGUUUCCAUUCUCAUCUGCUUAUUUGCGUAUACCUUAGAGCACUAAACUUACACAGCUGGAUACUUAAAGUCUUUAGGAAGACUUGGAAACAUGGUUUUUUUUGUUUGUUUUUUGUGAGACCACGUUUCUACAGCAGGCUUUGUUACACAUAGUAUCAUUUGUGCUUCAGCCAAACAAUGAAGUUGGUAGAAUUACAAAAUGUUUUCAAUGUUUCCAAGUUAUAAACUUGAUUCCUAGAUAUUGGUCUUAGAGGUCACACAGAGACAGUUCUUCUAAUUCCAAGUCCAUAUCCUUUUUUUUUUUUUAACCCUGCCUCAAAGCGUGAUGUUCUGAGCUGAAAAUUACAUAUAGUGUAAAGAUCCUUAGCAACAUCAAAGGGCAUGAUAGAACACAGCUGGUAAGACAUGUGUUUUAUGCAAAUGAAAGGUAUGCUACACACCUUAAUUACAGAUUCCCUAGUUGUCUAGUGAUUGAGUUUAAUUUUAUUGAAUAUGGUACUUAACAACUAAACAGGUAGGCUUUAGAUUACAGUAUUAGUUAAUUUAAGUAUACACUUGUUAAAUAUCUGUUGUAUGUUUGGCCUUGAGGGACACAAUGAUGACUAAGAUAUUUCCCCUACCUUCAAGAACUCAGCAAUCUAGGGUUGGUGAGUCUCAUGCUUUAGCAUUUGUAAUGUUGAUUUGGGGGCUCCAUUUCCAGAGAUGCUGAAUCAACAUAUACAAGGUGGGAUCCAGGGCCCUUCUGAUGUAACAAGCUCCAUAGAUGAUUACUAUGGGAGUCUCAGCUGUCUAUGUUGAGAAACACUGCAUUAGUCUAGGAGAUGAUAUGUUAAGAGUGUUGAUAUCAGCAACUUGUCAGCAAACUGUUGCAGGACUCUUAGUUUUGCUACAUAUUACCAGUUUAGGCUUGAUUUAUUUUAAAAGCCUGCCAUGUUUAAAACUAAUGCUGGAUACUGGUGGGAAUGUAAAAUGAUGUAGCUCUGUGAAAAAGUUUGUCAGUUCCUAAAAAGUUAAACAUACAAUUACCUUAUAAUCCAGCAAUUUCACUGCUAGGUAUAUCCCAUAAGUAUUGAAAGCAGAGACUCCAACAGAUGCCAGUGUUCAAAGCAAGCAUUAUUUACAAUAGCCAAAAAGUGGAUACAAUCCUAGUAUCCAACAGAUGAAUGGAUAAACAAAAUGUAUGUGAUAUAUACAUAUAAGGAAAUAUUAUCCUGCCAUAAAAAGAAAUGAAAUUGUGAUACAAGCUAUAACAUGGAUGAACCUUGAAAACAUUUUGCUAAGUGAAUAAGCCAAACACAAAUGAGCAUAUAUUGUAUGAUUCCAUUCAUAUGAGGUACCUAGAAUAGGUGAAUUCAUAAGGACAGAAAGUAGAAUAGAGGUUACUAGGGCUGGGGGUAAGGGAGACUGGGGAGUUACUGUUUAAUGGGUGCAGAGUUUCUGUUUGGGAUGAUGAAGUUCUGGAAAUAGAUAGUGGUGAUGUUUGCACAACAUUGUGAAUGUACUUAAUGCCAGUGAAUUGUACACCUAAAAAAUGGGUAAAAUGGUAAAUUUCAUUACAGGUAUUUCACCCCAAUAAUAAAAUAAUAAUGCCAGAAGCUGAAGAGUAAUCAGGACCUCAGGAUUACUCAUAGGUAUGUUACGUCUAAUAUUGGGCACAGGAGAAGCAGAAAAGGGAAGAAGUUGGAGAUUUAGAAACUAGCUCACAAGAAGAAAAAAUAUAGAUUUUUAUUUAAGUGUUUUAGUAAAAGUUUAGCUUUUACUUUUUUUCUCAAUUAUCAAGAAACACAUGUUUUAAAUUUAAAAGAUGGGAGGGAAACUACAUAUUAAUCCUAUUACCUAAAGUUGAUCUUAAAAAAUUUGUCACCUACUGAUAUGGUUUGGAUUUGUGUCCCCACCCAACUGUCAUGUAGAAUUGUAAUCCCCAGUGUUGGAGGAGGGGGCUGGUGGGAGGUGAUUGGAUCAUGGGGGUGGAUUUCUCCCUUGCUGUUCUGAGUGAGUUAUCACGAGAUCUGGUUGUUUAAAAGUGUGUAGCACUUCCCCCUUUGCUCUCUUCCUCCUGCUCCAGCCAUGGAGCAGCCAUGCUCUCUUCCCCUUUGCCUUCCACCAUGUUUGUAAGUUUCCUGUGGCCUCCCCAGCCAUACUUCCUGUACAGCCUGCAGAACCAUGAGCCAAUUAAACCCGCUUUUUUUGUAAAUUACCCAGUCGCAGGUAGUUCUUCAUAGCAAUGUGAGAACGGACUAAUAUACCUACCUAUGUUUUCACUACAUGCCAGGACUUUUCUAAGUACCUUACAAAUUUUGACAUUUAGUGAUCAUAACGAUCUUAUUAGAGAUGUGCUAUUAUUACCAUUUCCGUUUUAUAGAUGAGUAAAUUGAUAUGCAAAGACAUUAAGUUACUUGCCCAAGGCACACUGCUAACUAGGAAGUGGCAGAGUUGAGAUUUUUAGACACUCGCAGUCUGCCUCCAGAAUCCACUCUCUCUUUUUUUUUUUUUUUUUUGAGACGGAGUCUCACUCUGUCGCCCAGACUGGAAUGCAGUGGCGCGAUCUCGGCUCA
This 3104-nucleotide long non-coding RNA is filed under the name Homo sapiens (human). RNAcentral's name for it is "non-protein coding POC1B-AS1:39". Lineage: Eukaryota; Metazoa; Chordata; Mammalia; Primates; Hominidae. The record is from RNAcentral.